UGUGACAUACCUUCAACGUUGCUUCGGCGGGUUGGCCCCGGUCUCCGGGGUCCCCGGCCCUACUCGGGCGCCCGCCGGAGGUAUCUAACUCUUGAACUUUUAUGGCCUCUCUGAGUCUUUGUACUUAAUAAGUCAAAACUUUCAACAACGGAUCUCUUGGUUCUGGCAUCGAUGAAGAACGCAGCGAAAUGCGAUAAGUAAUGUGAAUUGCAGAAUUCAGUGAAUCAUCGAAUCUUUGAACGCACAUUGCGCCCGCCAGUAUUCUGGCGGGCAUGCCUGUUCGAGCGUCAUUUCAACCAUCAAGCCCCCGGCUUGUGUUGGGGACCUGCGGCUGCCGCAGGCCCUGAAAACCAGUGGCGGGCUCGCUAGUCACUCCGAGCGUAGUAAUACAUCUCGCUCAGGGCGUGCUGCGGGUUCCGGCCGUUAAAAAGCCUUAUUUACCCAAGGUUGACCUCGGAUCAGGUAGGAAGACCCGCUGAACUUAAGCAUAUCAAAAGCGGAGGAAAG
This 507-nucleotide unclassified non-coding RNA is filed under the name Trichocladium griseum. Its description in RNAcentral is "sequence contains ITS1, 5.8S rRNA gene, ITS2". The stretch from base 137 to 290 matches the Rfam family "5.8S ribosomal RNA". The record is from RNAcentral. Lineage: Eukaryota; Fungi; Ascomycota; Sordariomycetes; Sordariales; Chaetomiaceae.